GACGAACGCUGGCGGCGUGCCUAAUACAUGCAAGUCGAACGAGAGCGACCGGUGCUUGCACUGGUCAAUCUAGUGGCGCACGGGUGAGUAACACGUGGGUAACCUGCCCAUCAGAGGGGGAUAACAUUCGGAAACGGAUGCUAAAACCGCAUAGGUCUUCGAACCGCAUGGUUUGAAGAGGAAAAGAGGCGCAAGCUUCUGCUGAUGGAUGGACCCGCGGUGCAUUAGCUAGUUGGUGAGGUAACGGCUCACCAAGGCCGUGAUGCAUAGCCGACCUGAGAGGGUGAUCGGCCACAUUGGGACUGAGACACGGCCCAAACUCCUACGGGAGGCAGCAGUAGGGAAUCUUCCGCAGUGGACGCAAGUCUGACGGAGCAACGCCGCGUGAGUGAAGAAGGUUUUCGGAUCGUAAAACUCUGUUGUUAGAGAAGAACAAGUGCUAGAGUAACUGUUAGCGCCUUGACGGUAUCUAACCAGAAAGCCACGGCUAACUACGU
RNAcentral lists this ribosomal RNA (497 nucleotides) under uncultured bacterium. RNAcentral describes it as "partial 16S ribosomal RNA". It matches the Rfam family "Bacterial small subunit ribosomal RNA", at positions 28 to 506 of the family's 1533-position model. The record is from RNAcentral.